UGGCUCUUACAUUGUUGGAGGC
This 22-nucleotide non-coding RNA is filed under the name Arabidopsis thaliana (thale cress). Lineage: Eukaryota; Viridiplantae; Streptophyta; Magnoliopsida; Brassicales; Brassicaceae. The record is from RNAcentral.